GACGUAGGGCGCGAGCGUUGUCCGGAUUUAUUGGGCGUAAAGAGCUCGUAGGCGGCUUGUUGCGUCAGCUGUGAAAACCCGCAGCUCAACUGUGGGCUUGCAGCUGAUACGGGCAGGCUUGAGUUCGGUAGGGGAGACUGGAAUUCCCGGUGUAGCGGUGAAAUGCGCAGAUAUCGGGAGGAACACCGGUGGCGAAGGCGGUUCUCUGGGCCUUACCUGACGCUGAGGAGCGAAAGCGUGGGGAGCGAACAGG
RNAcentral lists this ribosomal RNA (253 nucleotides) under uncultured bacterium. Its description in RNAcentral is "partial 16S ribosomal RNA". It matches the Rfam family "Bacterial small subunit ribosomal RNA", at positions 524 to 776 of the family's 1533-position model. The record is from RNAcentral.